This 275-nucleotide ribosomal RNA is filed under the name uncultured bacterium. RNAcentral's name for it is "partial 16S ribosomal RNA". It matches the Rfam family "Bacterial small subunit ribosomal RNA", at positions 523 to 797 of the family's 1533-position model. The record is from RNAcentral.
AUACGUAGGUCCCGAACGUUGCGCGAAAUUACUGGGCGUAAAGGGUCCGUAGGCGGUCUGGUAAGUGGAAGGUGAAAGCCUGGGGCUCAACUCCAGAAUUGCCUUCCAAACUGCCGGACUUGAGGCAGGGAGAGGUCGGCGGAAUUCCCGGUGUAGUGGUGAAAUGCGUAGAUAUCGGGAGGAACACCAGUGGCGAAGGCGGCCGACUGGAACUGUCCUGACGCUGAGGGACGAAAGCCAGGGGAGCGAACCGGAUUAGAAACCCCAGUAGUCCC